UACAGGGGGUGCGAGCGUUAAUCGGAAUUACUGGGCGUAAAGCGUGCGUAGACGGCUAUCUAAGUCGGGUGUGAAAGCCCCGGGCUCAACCUGGGAAUUGCAUUCGAGACUGAAUAGCUAGGGUACGGUAGAGGGAAGCGGAAUUUCCGGUGUAGCGGUGAAAUGCGUAGAUAUCGGAAGGAACAUCAGUGGCGAAAGCGGCUUCCUGGACCAGUACCGACGUUCAGGCACGAAAGCGUGGGGAGCAAACAGG
This 253-nucleotide ribosomal RNA is filed under the name uncultured bacterium. Its description in RNAcentral is "partial 16S ribosomal RNA". It matches the Rfam family "Bacterial small subunit ribosomal RNA", at positions 524 to 776 of the family's 1533-position model. The record is from RNAcentral.